Molecule: ribosomal RNA, 253 nt
Filed under: uncultured bacterium
Lineage: Bacteria
Description: partial 16S ribosomal RNA
Rfam family: Bacterial small subunit ribosomal RNA
Source: RNAcentral
UACGAAGGGGGCUAGCGUUGUUCGGAAUUACUGGGCGUAAAGCGUGCGUAGGCGGCUUCUUAAGUCAGGGGUGAAAGCCCAGAGCUCAACUCUGGAAUUGCCUUUGAGACUGAGUGGCUUGAGUACGAGAGAGGUGAGUGGAAUUCCCAGUGUAGAGGUGAAAUUCGUAGAUAUUGGGAAGAACACCGGUGGCGAAGGCGGCUCACUGGCUCGUAACUGACGCUCAUGCACGACAGCGUGGGGAGCAAACAGG